RNAcentral lists this ribosomal RNA (372 nucleotides) under uncultured organism. RNAcentral describes it as "bacterial SSU rRNA". It matches the Rfam family "Bacterial small subunit ribosomal RNA", at positions 526 to 896 of the family's 1533-position model. The record is from RNAcentral.
CGGAGGGGGCGAGCGUUAUUCGGAAUUAUUGGGCGUAAAGGGCGCGUAGGCGGCGCGAUAAGUCAAAGGUGAAAUCCCUCGGCUCAACUGAGGAACUGCCUUUGAGACUGUCGAGCUCGAGGCCGGGAGGGGGUAGCGGAAUUCCCAGUGUAGCGGUGAAAUGCGUAGAUAUUGGGAGGAACACCAGUGGCGAAGGCGGCUACCUGGACCGGUUCUGACGCUGAUGCGCGAAAGCGUGGGUAGCAAACAGGAUUAGAUACCCUGGUAGUCCACGCUGUAAACGAUGGGUGCUCGGUGUCGCGGGUAUCGACCCCUGCGGUGCCUUAGCUAACGCGUUAAGCACCCCGCCUGGGGAGUACGGUCGCAAGGCUG